UUAAGCGACUAAGCGUACACGGUGGAUGCCCUGGCAGUCAGAGGCGAUGAAGGACGUGCUAAUCUGCGAUAAGCGUCGGUAAGGUGAUAUGAACCGUUAUAACCGGCGAUUUCCGAAUGGGGAAACCCAGUGUGUUUCGACACACUAUCAUUAACUGAAUCCAUAGGUUAAUGAGGCGAACCGGGGGAACUGAAACAUCUAAGUACCCCGAGGAAAAGAAAUCAACCGAGAUUCCCCCAGUAGCGGCGAGCGAACGGGGAGCAGCCCAGAGCCUGAAUCAGUAUGUGUGUUAGUGGAAGCGUCUGGAAAGGCGCGCGAUACAGGGUGACAGCCCCGUACACAAAAAUGCACAUGCUGUGAGCUCGAUGAGUAGGGCGGGACACGUGGUAUCCUGUCUGAAUAUGGGGGACCAUCCUCCAAGGCUAAAUACUCCUGACUGACCGAUAGUGAACCAGUACCGUGAGGGAAAGGCGAAAAGAACCCCGGCGAGGGGAGUGAAAAAGAACCUGAAACCGUGUACGUACAAGCAGUGGGAGCUCGCUUAGGCGUGUGACUGCGUACCUUUUGUAUAAUGGGUCAGCGACUUAUAUUCUGUAGCAAGGUUAACCGAAUAGGGGAGCCGAAGGGAACCGAGUCUUAACUGGGCGUUAAGUUGCAGGGUAUAGACCCGAAACCCGGUGAUCUAGCCAUGGGCAGGUUGAAGGUUGGGUAACACUAACUGGAGGACCGAACCGACUAAUGUUGAAAAAUUAGCGGAUGACUUGUGGCUGGGGGUGAAAGGCCAAUCAAACCGGGAGAUAGCUGGUUCUCCCCGAAAGCUAUUUAGGUAGCGCCUCGUGAAUUCAUCUCCGGGGGUAGAGCACUGUUUCGGCAAGGGGGUCAUCCCGACUUACCAACCCGAUGCAAACUGCGAAUACCGGAGAAUGUUAUCACGGGGAGACACACGGCGGGUGCUAACGUCCGUCGUGAAGAGGGAAACAACCCAGACCGCCAGCUAAGGUCCCAAAGUCAUGGUUAAGUGGGAAACGAUGUGGGAAGGCCCAGACAGCCAGGAUGUUGGCUUAGAAGCAGCCAUCAUUUAAAGAAAGCGUAAUAGCUCACUGGUCGAGUCGGCCUGCGCGGAAGAUGUAACGGGGCUAAACCAUGCACCGAAGCUGCGGCAGCGACGCUUAUGCGUUGUUGGGUAGGGGAGCGUUCUGUAAGCCUGCGAAGGUGUGCUGUGAGGCAUGCUGGAGGUAUCAGAAGUGCGAAUGCUGACAUAAGUAACGAUAAAGCGGGUGAAAAGCCCGCUCGCCGGAAGACCAAGGGUUCCUGUCCAACGUUAAUCGGGGCAGGGUGAGUCGACCCCUAAGGCGAGGCCGAAAGGCGUAGUCGAUGGGAAACAGGUUAAUAUUCCUGUACUUGGUGUUACUGCGAAGGGGGGACGGAGAAGGCUAUGUUGGCCGGGCGACGGUUGUCCCGGUUUAAGCGUGUAGGCUGGUUUUCCAGGCAAAUCCGGAAAAUCAAGGCUGAGGCGUGAUGACGAGGCACUACGGUGCUGAAGCAACAAAUGCCCUGCUUCCAGGAAAAGCCUCUAAGCAUCAGGUAACAUCAAAUCGUACCCCAAACCGACACAGGUGGUCAGGUAGAGAAUACCAAGGCGCUUGAGAGAACUCGGGUGAAGGAACUAGGCAAAAUGGUGCCGUAACUUCGGGAGAAGGCACGCUGAUAUGUAGGUGAAGUCCCUCGCGGAUGGAGCUGAAAUCAGUCGAAGAUACCAGCUGGCUGCAACUGUUUAUUAAAAACACAGCACUGUGCAAACACGAAAGUGGACGUAUACGGUGUGACGCCUGCCCGGUGCCGGAAGGUUAAUUGAUGGGGUUAGCGCAAGCGAAGCUCUUGAUCGAAGCCCCGGUAAACGGCGGCCGUAACUAUAACGGUCCUAAGGUAGCGAAAUUCCUUGUCGGGUAAGUUCCGACCUGCACGAAUGGCGUAAUGAUGGCCAGGCUGUCUCCACCCGAGACUCAGUGAAAUUGAACUCGCUGUGAAGAUGCAGUGUACCCGCGGCAAGACGGAAAGACCCCGUGAACCUUUACUAUAGCUUGACACUGAACAUUGAGCCUUGAUGUGUAGGAUAGGUGGGAGGCUUUGAAGUGUGGACGCCAGUCUGCAUGGAGCCGACCUUGAAAUACCACCCUUUAAUGUUUGAUGUUCUAACGUUGACCCGUAAUCCGGGUUGCGGACAGUGUCUGGUGGGUAGUUUGACUGGGGCGGUCUCCUCCUAAAGAGUAACGGAGGAGCACGAAGGUUGGCUAAUCCUGGUCGGACAUCAGGAGGUUAGUGCAAUGGCAUAAGCCAGCUUGACUGCGAGCGUGACGGCGCGAGCAGGUGCGAAAGCAGGUCAUAGUGAUCCGGUGGUUCUGAAUGGAAGGGCCAUCGCUCAACGGAUAAAAGGUACUCCGGGGAUAACAGGCUGAUACCGCCCAAGAGUUCAUAUCGACGGCGGUGUUUGGCACCUCGAUGUCGGCUCAUCACAUCCUGGGGCUGAAGUAGGUCCCAAGGGUAUGGCUGUUCGCCAUUUAAAGUGGUACGCGAGCUGGGUUUAGAACGUCGUGAGACAGUUCGGUCCCUAUCUGCCGUGGGCGCUGGAGAACUGAGGGGGGCUGCUCCUAGUACGAGAGGACCGGAGUGGACGCAUCACUGGUGUUCGGGUUGUCAUGCCAAUGGCACUGCCCGGUAGCUAAAUGCGGAAGAGAUAAGUGCUGAAAGCAUCUAAGCACGAAACUUGCCCCGAGAUGAGUUCUCCCUGACUCCUUGAGAGUCCUGAAGGAACGUUGAAGACGACGACGUUGAUAGGCCGGGUGUGUAAGCGCAGCGAUGCGUUGAGCUAACCGGUACUAAUGAACCGUGAGGCUUAACCUU
This 2901-nucleotide ribosomal RNA is filed under the name Escherichia coli DEC9C. Its description in RNAcentral is "bacterial LSU rRNA". It matches the Rfam family "Bacterial large subunit ribosomal RNA". The record is from RNAcentral. Lineage: Bacteria; Pseudomonadati; Pseudomonadota; Gammaproteobacteria; Enterobacterales; Enterobacteriaceae.